This is a long non-coding RNA of Canis lupus familiaris (dog), 1449 nucleotides long. RefSeq lists it as uncharacterized. The transcript has 3 exons. Lineage: Eukaryota; Metazoa; Chordata; Mammalia; Carnivora; Canidae. The record is from RefSeq and is a predicted model, not a curated record.
UGGGAUUGAGCCCCACAUUGGGCUCCUUGCCCAGGGGGAGUCUGCUUCUCCUUCUGCCCCUCCCCUCCACUCAUGCUCUGUCUCUUGCGCUCCCUCUCAAAUAAAUAAAACCUUUACAAAAUUUUUGUUGCAAUUAAUGAAAAGGUCUCUUAAAUUGCAUUUUAAAAGUAAUUUAUUUGUCUGUAGACCUUGGAAUAAGUUGAAAUAUUAUUUAUUUACAACCCAAGUCACUCACCUGAAAAUUUUACCACUACUAGUUAUCAAGGAAACGGUUUGCUUAAAUUCUUUUAAAAGAAUAUCGGUAUCAAGAACUGUGGAGUAUCUGAGCGUUUACCCUACUUGAGAAGUUAUGAAGUUAGCCAGUCAUAAUUCAAUGGAUCGCGGCAGAAGAUACAAGACUCCUGGAUCAGAGACAAAGAUAUUUAUUACUCGUAGUGUAGCAGGCUGCAUAAGCUUCGUGUUUGCUGAGCUCCCCUUGCUGUCGUUUCCUACGUGGAUGACCCAGGAGGGCUCAGGUGGAUGCUUCACAAGCGGUAGUUUUGCAUCACAGCCGAGAAAUGCCAAGAUUAGGGAAUCUUAAUCUUUUAUAAAAAACUCUCAACCUGACUGAACUCGGCACUGGAUGGAGGAAUAUUAUCUGUAUUGUGCUUGGAAAUACAAAAUGAGCAGACAGAUUUCGUAUGCUUAAGACAGAGACAUUCCAUCUCUCCUUCAAAGUUGUUCAUAGUACAAACAUCCUUGACAAGAUCCCAGAACACAAGCUAUCAGCGUUUCUGCUUGUAAAAUGUACUGAAAUAUGGGGGACUCGCCUAGAAUUGCCUCUUAACAGCUGAUCAAAUGGAACAGUUUUUAUUUAUUUAUUUAUUUUUAAUUUUUAUUUAUUUAUGAUAGUCACAGAGAGAGAGAGGCAGAGACACAGGCAGAGGGAGAAGCAGGCUCCAUGCACCGGGAGCCCGACGUGGGAUUCGAUCCCGGGUCUCCAGGAUCGUGCCCUGGGCCAAAGGCCCGCGCCAAACCGCUGCGCCACCGAGGGAUCCCCUGGAACAGUUUUUGACGUGAUUAUUUGAAAAUGUGGAAUCAGAAGAGCCAAGAAAGGAAGGACAGUGGUACUCAGCAAGGAGGUGAAAGGCUCGUUCUGGGUGCAGUUGGCUUCAUAUGAAUGCUCUCCCUUUAUCCGUCUCUUCAAUAUCCAUAUUUCCCACGCUGUGCUUGACCCUUAAAUCAUCUAAUUCUUCACACCCGGAAGCUCAGUGCCAAAUGUGGGACCUGGUUUUAAUAGCACCAUGAAAUCCUGUGGUGUGAGUAUGUUUUGUUUUCUCCUUAACUGUAUUUCUUUUGCCUAUUAUAUGUUUAUAUGAACUCUGAUUUACUGUUUUAAAUAUUUUAUCUAAAGCCCCCUAAGCUCACUUUGUAUAUUAUAAGACAAUAAAGGAAGGUAUAAGUCUAAAA